Molecule: ribosomal RNA, 296 nt
Filed under: uncultured Allobosea sp.
Lineage: Bacteria; Pseudomonadati; Pseudomonadota; Alphaproteobacteria; Hyphomicrobiales; Alloboseaceae
Description: uncultured Bosea sp. partial 16S ribosomal RNA
Rfam family: Bacterial small subunit ribosomal RNA
Source: RNAcentral
AGCGAACGCUGGCGGCAGGCUUAACACAUGCAAGUCGAACGGGCACUUCGGUGCUAGUGACAGACGGGUGAGUAACACGUGGGAACGUACCUUUCGGUUCGGAAUAAUUCAGGGAAACUUGGACUAAUACCGGAUACGCCCUUCGGGGGAAAGAUUUAUCGCCGAUAGAUCGGCCCGCGUCUGAUUAGCUAGUUGGUGAGGUAAUGGCUCACCAAGGCGACGAUCAGUAGCUGGUCUGAGAGGAUGAUCAGCCACAUUCGGACUGAGACACGGCCCAAACUCCUACGGGAGGCAGC